GGUGUCUGCAAACACCCUUUUCACUCUGUGAUGUGUGCAGUUGUGUAAUUUCAGUCCUGCCAGUGGGCUCAAGUUAGGGAGGUGAUAGCUACCCAGAGAAACCAGAGGAGAGGGAGGAUGUUGCAGUAAAAAGCCAAACAGAAAGAGGAGAGAAUGUGGUGUAACUCUCCAUUCCUGUUGGCAUCAUCUGAGAUUGAGUCCUCGGGAACAUAUGGAGUGCACGGAGUGAGAAUGGAUUCCGUGAUGCUCCUCGUGUCUGCUGGCUGGGAAGUAAUUGCAGCAGAAAAAGAAGAAAUCACCAACUUGUACUGGCAUGUUCUUCUGCCUGCUUAGAUUUAUAAAUCUGUUGGCACUGGUUCCACAACAGGUUGUGACCUGAGGCCUCCUGGGUAUAAAUAAGAGCAGCAAGUGUUCCAGGGCUCAGUGGUAAAUAUUAUACUUCAUGGCUCAGUUUUGAGCUUACGUGAUGGAUUGCUGGAGAUAGAGAUGAAA
Molecule: long non-coding RNA, 492 nt
Filed under: Manacus vitellinus (golden-collared manakin)
Lineage: Eukaryota; Metazoa; Chordata; Aves; Passeriformes; Pipridae
Description: lncRNA (ENSMVIG00005004686.1)
Source: RNAcentral